GGAGGAAGGUGGGAUGACGUCAAGUCAUCAUGCCCUUUAUGUCCUGGGCGACACACGUGCUACAAUGGCCGGUACAGACGGACGCAAAGCCGCGAGGUGGAGCAAAUCCUAAAAAGCCGGUCUCAGUUCGGAUUGCAGGCUGCAAUUCGCCUGCAUGAAGUCGGAAUCGCUAGUAAUCGCAGGUCAGCAUACUGCGGUGAAUACGUUCCCGGGCCUU
This 217-nucleotide ribosomal RNA is filed under the name uncultured Bacillus sp. RNAcentral describes it as "partial 16S ribosomal RNA". It matches the Rfam family "Bacterial small subunit ribosomal RNA", at positions 1165 to 1382 of the family's 1533-position model. The record is from RNAcentral. Lineage: Bacteria; Bacillati; Bacillota; Bacilli; Caryophanales; Bacillaceae.